CCUACGGGAGGCAGCAGUGGGGAAUAUUGGACAAUGGGCGAAAGCCUGAUCCAGCCAUGCCGCGUGUGUGAAGAAGGUCUUCGGAUUGUAAAGCACUUUAAGUUGGGAGGAAGGGUUGUAGAUUAAUACUCUGCAAUUUUGACGUUACCGACAGAAUAAGCACCGGCUAACUCUGUGCCAGCAGCCGCGGUAAUACAGAGGGUGCAAGCGUUAAUCGGAAUUACUGGGCGUAAAGCGCGCGUAGGUGGUUUGUUAAGUUGGAUGUGAAAUCCCCGGGCUCAACCUGGGAACUGCAUCCAAAACUGGCAAGCUAGAGUAUGGUAGAGGGUGGUGGAAUUUCCUGUGUAGCGGUGAAAUGCGUAGAUAUAGGAAGGAACACCAGUGGCGAAGGCGACCACCUGGACUGAUACUGACACUGAGGUGCGAAAGCGUGGGGAGCAAACAGGAUUAGAUACCCUGGUAGUCCACGCCGUAAACGAUGUCAACUAGCCGUUGGGAGCCUUGAGCUCUUAGUGCGCAGCUUAACGCAUUAAGUUGACCGCCUGGGGAGUACGGCCGCAAGGUUAAACUUAAAGUGAAUUGACCGGNNGAGAGNGCGAGACGACGACGAGGGAGGAGG
This 619-nucleotide ribosomal RNA is filed under the name uncultured bacterium. Its description in RNAcentral is "bacterial SSU rRNA". It matches the Rfam family "Bacterial small subunit ribosomal RNA", at positions 338 to 948 of the family's 1533-position model. The record is from RNAcentral.